This 2611-nucleotide long non-coding RNA is filed under the name Triticum aestivum (bread wheat). RNAcentral describes it as "long non-coding RNA (TAES_LNC021199)". The record is from RNAcentral. Lineage: Eukaryota; Viridiplantae; Streptophyta; Magnoliopsida; Poales; Poaceae.
CGUUUUCGAUGAACUCAAGCUUGUCAUAAAGAUGACCAUAAGCUCUAAGACUCACAAAUGAAACCAAACAAGAACCAAGAAAGAUGAUGCAAGGAUGGAAUGGUUUGAGCUCUCGACUAAUGAUACGAUCAAGCUACUGCCUAGAGAGCCCCCCUUGAUAGUACGACAAUCGAUCCUACAACCCGGUCUCCCAACUACCACCAUGAGACCGGUAAAAUAGAAAACCUAUCAAGGGCAAACCUUUGCCUUGCACAUAGUCCACUUGAGCUAGAUGAUGACGAUCUUGACUUACUCAAGUUGGACCACCUUUCUUGAUUGUGUUGGCUCGAUGAAGACUAGUUGAUUGCUCCCCCAUACUCCACUAUGGGUGAGCCACUCUUUGGCAUAUAUUCACAAUUACAUUGACACCACAAUGGACAGCAAGCUUCAAGCUUGAUUGCUCCCCCAUAAUCCAUUAUGGGUGAGCCACUCUUCGAGUUGCUCCACUUGAACUUGCACACUGCAAACUUGAUGACGAUCACCACUUGAUGUCAUCCUCCAUGGGUUGUAUGAGAUCUUCCUCUUGACGCAAAACCAUGGAAACAUACCUAACCCCACAAAGAACUCUCACGUAGACCAUGGGUUAGUACACAAAGCGUAAUGGACAAUGCUUACCGUACCAUGGGAUCACUUGAUCCCUCUCGGUACUUCUUCUACGCUUUGUGAGUUGAUCAACUUGAUUCACUCUUGACUUAGUCUUGAUCAACAUUGAAUCUUUCCAACUCUCAUUUGGAUGAUGUCUUGAAGGUAACCAUGAAUGAUCACACAAUCUUCUUCUUCAAGACAUGCUUGCAAUAAGCUCAACUCACACAUGACCAAUCUUUGGAUAAUUCCUUGAAAAGCACUUUGGCAAUCUCAACUCACACAUGACCAAUCUUUGGAUAAUUCCUUGAAAAGCACUUUGCUCAUCUCAUAAACUCCUUGAAACCAACACAUGGACUUCAAGACAAUCCUAUGGACAAAUCCUUCAAAUAUAACUCAAGGCAACCGUUAGUCCAUAGAGAUUGUCAUUAAUUACCAAAACCACACAUGGGGGCACGACAUGUCCUUUCACACCGAGCAUGGCAAAUUGUAUAAAUAAAAUAAGUAGUAUAAGAAACCAAAACACAAAAGUAAAGCAUGCAGGCAAUACCCAGUUAGUCACCAGAAUAAAACAAUAAGUAAUCAACAGAAACAAAAGAAGAAAAACUAAAAACACAUAUGCAUAGAACACUAACCUUAAUAGCAAGACGGGGAACCACCGAGGUAACAGAGCGGCAGACGACAAAGAAAGUGAAGGGAACCACAACAUGACCUAUAAAACAAAAGGAACCAGGGACCUACAUGAGAGGCAGGUCCAAAGAGCAAGCACAAACCUCGCUAGGAAAUAGAGCAGCUGAGAAGCUGAGCAAAGGAUACAAAAAACAAAAAGAACAAAGUCAUCAUGCUUCAGAUAAGCACAUAGAUGACGAUAUGAAUAAACGGCCAAAAAAGGACCUACUGGACACUGAAAUAAUGGCUCAUUUUAUUGGAGUGUCCACUAAUUUGCAUGUAUUAAUGAGCAACAAGAACCAUUCUGUGGACAUAUAAUAGGAAGUGGUGCUGCAUCGGAUUCUAAAGAACACACUAAAGCAACAGAAAGAGAUGGCCCACUAAAUUCCGAAGCACACAUAUCAAAGGAGCAAGCAUUGGUCUAUGCACACGCAAGCGAUAAUGCCUAUUACACUGGAUUCUGCAGCAAGCAUCAUUAGCAAGACAGGAACAAAAUUUGGGCACAUCCUACUUGUAAGGAUAUGCCCGGAAAGGAUCACGCAACAAGAAAAUCACCAGCACAAGCAUAAGGAAAGACGGCCUAAUGCACAAUGCAACCAUGGAUCAAGUAACUUUCAUAUGCCAAUGAGCUGCAACCAUGGAUCAAUUAACUUGCAUGUGUCAAUGAGCAACAAGAGUAAAUCCGUACAAGUGCAAAUAGCAGGAUGUGGCCUGGUAGAUCACAAAGUACACAUAUAUAAGCAGCAGCAACUGGAUUGCCCUUACACAACAAGGAGCAACAAACAACAAGGAUUGUAGAAGAACGGUCAAAAGCUAUAACCUGCCCAUGCAAGACAGGGUACUGAAAAUCGAGUAAACUGCACAAGCAUGGACCUGAACCUAAAUGAAUAUACGCCUCCGAAAGCAGCAAGCAGGAACAAAAGAACCGAAGCAAUCAUAAGCAAGAAAGGAUGUGCUUUUUUUCAACAAGAUCAAAAGGAUAACCCCACAAGCAGCAGGAUAGGCACACACAACUAAUAAAGCAAUCCAAGGAAAGCACGACUAACCUUGCUAGCCAACAACACAGACGGUCAGCGAACAAGCAAAAGACCUGGACAGGUAACGAAACGAGAAACAAAGCCAUGUCAGUUAACAUGCAUUUCGUCAAACAGGACAUGAGCAAGGAAGAACUCACCUUCUCGAGCAGCAAGGCGAAGGACGAACAACAGAGAGACUGACCCUGCACAAACAACGGAAGGAGGAGACUACCAAUUCAACUACCAUCGGCCACUCUUGCUCUCCAAUUGGACUAUCUGGCACUUGUGUUGAGACACCGAAGUUC